RNAcentral lists this small nuclear RNA (19 nucleotides) under Arabidopsis thaliana (thale cress). Its description in RNAcentral is "snRNA_19142". Lineage: Eukaryota; Viridiplantae; Streptophyta; Magnoliopsida; Brassicales; Brassicaceae. The record is from RNAcentral.
UUCCCUGGAAAGGGGCGCC